CCCUAUUAUUUUAGAUGUUAAGUUUUUGGCCUGAGUAGUAUUAGUUAUGUUCUUUAAACUUAAAGAAUUUGGCGGUAUUUCAUUCCUUUCAGAGGAAUCUGCCUCGUUAUCGAUAAUCCGCGUUGGACCUUACUUAAUUUCUUUGGUUUGUAUACCGCCGUUAGUGGUGAGGAUCUUCUGAGGGUUAUAAUUUUCUGUAUUUUUUAUUUAGAAUUUAUUUCAGGUCAAGGUGCAGCUUUAUUUAAGUUGAUGGUGGAUUACAUUUAUUUUUAAUGUUUGGAUUGUUUAAUUUAAUUUUUUGCAUGAAAUUGGAUUUGAUUGUAAUUUGUUGAAGAUUGUAUUAGUGAUUUUGGUUCUGGAAUAUGUACACAUCGCCCGUCGCUCUCAUUGUUUUAUAUGGAGGUGAGAUAAGUC
This 414-nucleotide ribosomal RNA is filed under the name Stolotermes inopinus. RNAcentral's name for it is "partial 12S ribosomal RNA". The record is from RNAcentral. Lineage: Eukaryota; Metazoa; Arthropoda; Insecta; Blattodea; Termopsidae.